RNAcentral lists this ribosomal RNA (301 nucleotides) under uncultured bacterium. RNAcentral describes it as "partial 16S ribosomal RNA". It matches the Rfam family "Bacterial small subunit ribosomal RNA", at positions 509 to 807 of the family's 1533-position model. The record is from RNAcentral.
CAGUAGCCGCGGUAAUACAGAGGGUGCAAGCGUUAAUCGGAAUUACUGGGCGUAAAGCGCGCGUAGGUGGUUUGUUAAGUUGGAUGUGAAAGCCCCGGGCUCAACAUGGGAACUGCAUCCAAAACUGGCAAGCUAGAGUACGGUAGAGGGUGGUGGAAUUUCCUGUGUAGCGGUGAAAUGCGUAGAUAUAGGAAGGAACACCAGUGGCGAAGGCGACCACCUGGACUGAUACUGACACUGAGGUGCGAAAGCGUGGGGAGCAAACAGGAUUAGAUACCCCCGUAGUCCCUGUCUCUUAUAC